RNAcentral lists this ribosomal RNA (253 nucleotides) under uncultured bacterium. RNAcentral's name for it is "partial 16S ribosomal RNA". It matches the Rfam family "Bacterial small subunit ribosomal RNA", at positions 524 to 776 of the family's 1533-position model. The record is from RNAcentral.
UACAGAGGUCCCAAGCGUUGUUCGGAUUCACUGGGCGUAAAGGGUGCGUAGGCGGUCGGGCAAGUCUGAUGUGAAAUCUCACAGCUUAACUGUGAAACUGCAUUGGAUACUAUCCGGCUAGAGGAAUGGAGGGGAGACUGGAAUACUUGGUGUAGCAGUGAAAUGCGUAGAUAUCAAGUGGAACACCAGUGGCGAAGGCGAGUCUCUGGACAUUUCCUGACGCUGAGGCACGAAAGCCAGGGGAGCAAACGGG